This is a long non-coding RNA of Leptidea sinapis, 727 nucleotides long. RefSeq lists it as uncharacterized. Lineage: Eukaryota; Metazoa; Arthropoda; Insecta; Lepidoptera; Pieridae. The record is from RefSeq and is a predicted model, not a curated record. The transcript is spliced from 3 exons.
AUUCCACAGGUCACUCACAAAUAAAACGGCGCUCUGACUCAGCACCGAAGUAGCAGCCAACAUAAACCACGCCAGCGAAAACGUGAUUAUUGGAAAUAAUAAAUAACCACAAAAUCUAGAUUUCUAGAGCGCAGAAAUAUCAUUCGGUGAAGUGGAACUGAUGAUGGAGACCACAAAUAGCCACCGGAACACCAUCAAACUGAUCGAUCGAUUGGUCGUGAUCGACUGAAGUCGGAAAUAAGGAUUGCAUUCUAGCGUCAUUUUCACGUUUCCAACCACAAUGUAGGCUGUUAGUGAAUUAAUCGAGUGAAAGCUUCGGUGGCGCAAAGGAUAGUGCCGUUGCCUUUCAUCCGGGAUGCGCCAGUUUGAUCCACGCUUUCACACGCACGAUUUCAUAAUUUAACGUAAUUCCAGAAAAACGUUCCAAACCACAAUCAUGUCGAAAUUGAGUUACGAUUUAAGAACACAAAAUUGGUCACGUGUUUCAUACUAACAGACUGACAAAAAAUGGCAGCCUUACUGUCACUCUUGAAAUGACAUCGUGACUUAGUAGCCCAACCCACUUGCAUGGAAUACACUAAUAUUUAUUAAACUUUAAACACGAAUUUCAGGAACUACGUCCAAUUAUAAGUUUUCUUAUGUGUAAAACUUAUUUAUUUUAUAUAAAACAUUGUUGUGCCCUGCAAGGCGUCACAUAUCCAAUGUACUACUCUUUUGUAAAAAUGUG